Molecule: unclassified non-coding RNA, 337 nt
Filed under: soil metagenome
Description: partial contains 5.8S ribosomal RNA, internal transcribed spacer 2, and large subunit ribosomal RNA
Rfam family: 5.8S ribosomal RNA (bases 1-120)
Source: RNAcentral
GAUGAAGAACGUAGCGAAAUGCGAUAAGUAAUGCGAAUUGCAGAAUUCCGUGAGUCAUCGAAUCUUUGAACGCACAUUGCGCCCUCUGGUAUUCCAUGGGGCAUGCCUGUUCGAGCGUCAUUUGUACCUUCAAGCUCUGCUUGGUGUUGGGUGUUUGUCUCGCCUCUGCGUGUAGACUCGCCUCAAAACAAUUGGCAGCCGGCGUAUUGAUUUCGGAGCGCAGUACAUCUCGCGCUUUGCACUCAUAACGACGACGUCCAAAAGUACAUUUUUACACUCUUGACCUCGGAUCAGGUAGGGAUACCCGCUGAACUUAAGCAUAUCAAUAAGCGGAGGA